AUUGAACGCUGGCGGCAUGCUUUACACAUGCAAGUCGAACGGUAACAGGCCUUCGGGUGCUGACGAGUGGCGAACGGGUGAGUAAUGCAUCGGAACGUACCCAGAGGUGGGGGAUAACGCAGCGAAAGCUGUGCUAAUACCGCAUGUGAUCUGAGGAUGAAAGCGGGGGACCGAGCAGCAAUGUUUGGCCUCGCGCCUUUGGAGCGGCCGAUGUCGGAUUAGCUAGUUGGUGGGGUAAAGGCCUACCAAGGCGACGAUCCGUAGCUGGUCUGAGAGGACGACCAGCCACACUGGGACUGAGACACGGCCCAGACUCCUACGGGAGGCAGCAGUGGGGAAUUGUGGACAAUGGGCGCAAGCCUGAUCCAGCAAUGCCGCGUGCGGGAAGAAGGCCUUCGGGUUGUAAACCGCUUUUGGCAGGAACGAAACGGUGUCCGCUAAUACCGGGCGCUAAUGACGGUACCUUCAGAAUAAGCACCGGCUAACUACGUG
This 492-nucleotide ribosomal RNA is filed under the name uncultured bacterium. RNAcentral describes it as "partial 16S ribosomal RNA". It matches the Rfam family "Bacterial small subunit ribosomal RNA", at positions 29 to 507 of the family's 1533-position model. The record is from RNAcentral.